CCGCCCGUCACACUAUGGGAGCUAGCCAUGCCCAAAGUCGUUACCUUAACCCCAAGGAGGGGGAUGCCGAAGGCAGGGCUAGUGAUUGGAGUGAAGUCGUAACAAG
Non-coding RNA from Punica granatum (pomegranate), 106 nucleotides. NCBI's taxonomy places the organism in Eukaryota, Viridiplantae, Streptophyta, Magnoliopsida, Myrtales, Lythraceae. The record is from Rfam.